UCGGGUCGUGUUCUGACAGCUAGCACUCCACUCUUGUUUGCUGCGUGCGUUCGUCGCUUGGCCCGCUUGCUGUUCUCGCAAAAGCGCGGGGCAGAGGAGAGAAAGAAGCCUCUCGUUCUCCGAGAGAGACGCAGAGGCCGCAGUCAGGGCCUGGAUAUACUCGGAGGCUCGGCUUCUCCUCUGGGUGCUCCUUGUUGCUUCCAGGGAAAGUUUAGUCUGGAUCUGAGGCCUCGUGGCGCUCUUCCUGGUUUUUCAAUUUUGGUGGAGAAAUAGAGUUUGUGGUGAAGUAAAUGGCACCGCUGGAAUCCAAACCCUAAUGAAGCAGAGUCUCUUCUUAACCACUGUCUAUACUAAAGGUAAUUUAAAACAGGGUGCAGACAACAGGAAAGCAACAACUCUGGUUUGGUCACCGUGGUGGUCUUGCCCGGCACAUGGUGGGAGUCCAGCCAGAGCUGAUGGGAGCACCACAGGCAUCUCCCCUGAUGCAGGGUAAAUUGCAGAAGCCGUGGUACCAGCCCGCAUCCAUGACCCCACAGAUAUUCCCCUUCUCCAAGUGGACUGACCCAGGCCUUUUACAAACACAGAAGGAUCUUGUGCAAGAUGAAUUCUAGUACUAGCUACUAAAAGAUCUCUUCACACAAAAGGCAAUAUUCCUGAAUUUGUAUUGGUCCAGGCAUUCGAGAAUCAAGAUGUUUUCCUGUUUCCAUGGAAGCAGAGUUCAUUUGGCUGGGAUGUUCUGAGCUUUUGCUUCCAGACCUUUGAUGCGGGGGCAUGUUGUCUUCAGCAGAGGCUCUGGCCAAGUCAGAUGCCCACGUGUCUCUGCUUGGUGAAGCCGAAUGCCUCGCCAUGACUCUGGAGAAGCUCUUUAAGUGUCUGAUGCAGUGGGAAGAGCUGAGCCACAGCUUGAUACCAGUGUUGGGCCCCAGAGUCCCCAUAUGCUGCCUCUCAAGGGUGGUAUUCAAAGUGGGUUGUUGUUCUUGUUGUUGUUUUGGUCACAUCCCAGGCGUAACUGCAGUACAACAUCACAGCCAGGAUGCUGACAUUGAUAAUCCUCCUAUCUCAUUCACAUUUCCCCGUUUUACUUGUAAUGUGUGUGUGUGUGUGUGUGUGUGUGUGUGUUUGUAUUUAGUUCUUUGACGUUUUAUCACAUGUGCAGAUUAAUGUAUCUGCUACAGUCAAGAUAUAGAACACCUGAAUCCUUUGUGUUGCUCUUUGGUACCCACCUCCUCCCCAUCCCUCCACCCCAACACCUGGCAACCACUGAGCUAGUCUCCAUACUGCAAAUUUUGUGAUAUCAUUUGUUACAUAGAUGGAAUUGCCUAUUGCAUAGCUUUGGCGGAAUGGCUUUUCAUUUUCCCCCUCAAAACAUAUUUCUUUACAAUUACUACAAGCUGUUGCAUGUAUCAGUAGUUUUCUUUCUUUCUUUCUUUCUUGCUUGCUUCCUUCCUUCCUUCCUUUCUUUUUUUUUUUGGCUGAACCAGUAGUGGCAGGCAGAAGUUCUGGGACCAGGGAUCGAACCCAAGCCAUAGCAGUAACCAAAGCCACAGCAGUGACAAUGCUGUACCCUCAACUCUCUGAGCCAGCAGGACUCUCCUCAAAGUGUGUUUUUUUUUUUUUUCCUUUCUUUUUAGGGCCACACCCACAGCAUAUGGAAGUUCCUGGGCUAGGGGUCAAAUUGGAGCUGCAGCUGCUGGGUUACACCACAGCCACGGCAAUGUGGGAUCCAAGCUGUGUCUGCAACCUGCACCAUGACUCACAACAACACCCAGAUCCUUAACGCACUAAAUAAGUGCAGGGAUCGAACCCUUAUCCUCAUGGAUACUAGUUGGGUUCAUAAUCACUGAGCCACAAUGGGAAGCCCCCAAAGUGGGGUUUUGGAAGAUAGUAGGAUUAUUCUAGGCUCAGAUUAAAGUCAGGUGGGUAAGCAUCAUUGCACAGGGAGGAAAAAGUGUGAGCCAGAUGGUGAAGGCAGGAAAGUUAGAGCCCUCUUUGGGAAGGAGAUGGCGAUAUUGUAGGAACCAGCUUGGGGUUUGUUUGGGAGGGACAGCAGCAGGCUCUCUCCCUGCCUCCUAUCACUUCCCUAUGUCCUUCCUGUGAUUUGGGGGCCUCUGUGGUGCAUGGCCACCUGUAUGCAGGCAGCACCAGCAUCUUGUCCCUCUUGCUCUGUCUCAGGGCUCUCUCCUGGGUCCAGGAGAGCACUCAGCCUGCUUGCAGGAGCAUCUCAGCCCGCAGGCAGCCCCCAGCCCAGGGGAGGAGGGUUGGUGGACCACACCAUGACAUGUGGUCUACACACGUCCUUUGAGGGGUGAGCCCAGUGCCCACAGUGGUAACCAGUGCGAUAACGCUGUUUAACCCUUUCGAUACCCUCACACUUGCCUGGGCUCAUCUUGCAAAGAAGUCACCUGCAUGUGAUUUAUGAGCAUGGAGGAAACUACUGAAGGGUACGCGGUUGUUGGGAUGAUUGCUUGGUGCAGCGUAGGGAAGGUAAGCAGGAGAGGGAAUGGGCAUAAAAUAUACUCAAACCAAACAAAACUACCCAUUAGACACAGCAUGCUGAGUUUUUUGUUUGUUUGUUUUUGUUUUUGCCUUUUUCUUUUUGCCUUUUAGGGCUGCACUUGGAGCAUAUGGAUGUUCCCAGACUAGGAGUUGAACCAGAGCUGUAGCUGUUGGCCUACGCUGCAGCCACAGCAAUGCCAGAUCCGAGCUGAGUCUGUGACCCACACCACAGCUCAUGGCAAUGCUGGAUCUCCAAUCCAGUGAGCGAAGCCAGGGAUCGAACCUGCAUCCCCAUGGAUACUAGUUGAAUUCAUUUCUGCUGGACCGCGACGGGAACUCCCACAUGCUGGGUUCUUUGAUAGACAAUCUGUAAGGAAAAGAGAAAGGUAGAGAGGAAACCUAUGCCGAGAAGAAAUGAAGACUUCUCAAAAAACUUUUUAAUUAAAAAAAAUUAUUGAUUUAUUUAUUUUUGGCCAUGCCUGAGGCACGUGGAAGGUCCUGGGCCAGGGAUUGAACCUUGCACCACAGCAGUGACAACAUCAGAUUCUUAACUGCUAGGCCACCAGGGAACUCUCAAAAUUUUUUUUAAAUGGACCAGACCAAGCUAUAGUGUUUAGGAUUUCAUAGUUGAGUGAUAAGACCAUAAAGAAACACAAAGAAGGGAGUAUCACUGAAGUCACAAUAGUGAUUACUUUUUUUAAAGGGAGACAGGUAGUGGCUAUCAUGGGACAUUUGAUGGAAAUUUCUAAGCUGCAAAGUUCUAUUUUUUUGAUCUGGGUGGUAGUUAUAAUAAUUCAUUGAAGAGUACAUUUAUUUUGAAUAGUUUUUCUGCAUUUGUAUUCUAUUUUACUUUGCAAAAGAAAG
This 3360-nucleotide long non-coding RNA is filed under the name Sus scrofa (pig). Its description in RNAcentral is "lncRNA (ENSSSCG00060053122.1)". Lineage: Eukaryota; Metazoa; Chordata; Mammalia; Artiodactyla; Suidae. The record is from RNAcentral.